CCUACAGCUAUCUAGCACUGCAGUGCAUAAAAUGUGCUGAGUAGUUGACCUACAGAGAGAAAGACAAUAGUUUAAUAGUUUUUAACAAAAUAAUUUCUUCAAAAAUUAAGGAGAAGCAAGAGAAAGAGCUAUCUAUAUUUCAUUGCAUUUCUUUCACUUUCACUUAGCUCGUGAAUGCAGCUAGCUAGUUUAGCCUACUCAAACACCCAGCUCAAACAGAGGGAUGCUAUGUUAGCUAGCUGGCUAUCCAACACUUGAACUCUUCCAAGUCAAGAUGCACCAUUGAGAGCAUCCUGUCGGGCUGUAUCACGGCCUGGUACUGCAACUGCACCACCCGCAACCGCAGGGUACUCCAGAAGAAGUGGCGGUCUGCCCAACGCGUCACUGGGGGCACACUGCUUGCCCUCCAGGACACCUACAGCACCCGAUGCCACAGGAAGGCCCAAAAGAUCAUCGAGGACAUCAACCACCCGAGCUACGCCCUGUUCACCCCGCUAUCAUCCAGAAGGCGAGCAAAUAUGGCAGUACGACCAACCAGCCUCACACCGCAGACCACGUGUAACCAUGCCAGCCCAGGACCUCCACAUCCGACUUCUUCACCUGAGGGAUCAUCUGAGACCAGCCACCCAGACAGCUGAUGAAACUGAGGAGUAUUUCUGUCUGUAAUAAAGCCCUUUUUGUGGGGAAGUAAUAAAG
RNAcentral lists this long non-coding RNA (696 nucleotides) under Salmo salar (Atlantic salmon). RNAcentral describes it as "lncRNA (ENSSSAG00000106443.1)". The record is from RNAcentral. Lineage: Eukaryota; Metazoa; Chordata; Actinopteri; Salmoniformes; Salmonidae.